UACGUAGGGUGCAAGCGUUGUCCGGAUUUAUUGGGUUUAAAGGGUGCGUAGGCGGGUCAAUAAGUUAGUGUUCAAAUAUGCCUGCUUAACAGGUAGUCGGGCAUUGAUACUGUUGAUCUUGAGUAAGUUUGGGGCUGGCGGAAUUUGUGGUGUAGCGGUGAAAUGCAUAGAUACCACAAGGAACACCGAUCGCGAAGGCAGCCAGCCAAGCCUUAACUGACGCUGAGGCACGAAAGCGUGGGUAGCAAACAGG
This 253-nucleotide ribosomal RNA is filed under the name uncultured bacterium. Its description in RNAcentral is "partial 16S ribosomal RNA". It matches the Rfam family "Bacterial small subunit ribosomal RNA", at positions 524 to 776 of the family's 1533-position model. The record is from RNAcentral.